Molecule: RNA transcript, 18910 nt
Organism: Culex pipiens pallens (northern house mosquito)
Lineage: Eukaryota; Metazoa; Arthropoda; Insecta; Diptera; Culicidae
Gene: Su(Tpl)
Gene name: RNA polymerase II elongation factor Ell
Exons: 13
Source: RefSeq, a predicted model, not a curated record
UGCCAAUCAGUCGUAGUGUGGCCGUUUCGGGAUUUGGGCGGACAUAUGACUCGCUGCGCAAAACAGAAAAGAAGAAUAAGUGUGUGGCAGUGGCAGCAGUAGUAGUGGUGGGAAGAAGCCUGAAGAAAAACGGCAGUGUGGCAGUCGUAAGGAGGCGGAGAAGAGAAGGAAGGAGAAGACAAGAAGAAGGAAUUUCGUGAAAAACUAGGGAUUUACUACGCGACUCUCUCUUUUUGUUGUUUUUCUUGUUUUGCGCCCGAGUUCUUUCUCGUUUUUAUUGUUCUGUUUCACAAUUUCCCGAAGAAAACCCGAGAAAAAAAAAACGGUGUUUCGGUCGCUACGCGAGAAAACUGCUGCAAUUUUGUUUUCGAAAAUAAAAAAAAGGAAAUAUUCGCGAUUUCUUCUUCCUCGUUGUGCUUUUACAAACCAUACCGUUUAAUUUUAAUUCGCGAAACGCAAGAUUAAGAGUUUUCCCCGUGAGGUACGUGAGCGUGUGUGUUUGUGUGCAUUUCGCGUGUAUGUGUGUGUGCGAGCGUUUUCCUCCACGCACGCACACAUCUAGCAGAAACCAACAAAAAGAAAAAUCAUCAUCCGUCAUCACUUGCGCGGAGUUUUUCCGGCACGUCGUUAUAAUCAAAACGUAAAUAUUAGAAAAAGUAAUUAGAAUUUGCGUGCUACGCGGAAGCAAAAAAAAAGAAGAAACCAAGAAGAAGAAGGAGAAGAUAAUACAAGCAAAAUAUAAUAUAUUGAAAUCAAAAAAUUUCCUGAUCACACGUUCGCCAAUCAACCCGAAGUGAGCAAGAAGAAUAGUUGCAAUAGUGAGUGAGUGAGAGAGAGAGAAAGAAGGAGAAGGAAGGAGAGAGCGCUACGCGCUGCAGCUGUGUGUGUGUUUACAUCUCCUGCACAAGUCUGUGUCUGUGUGUGUGUGGUGUGAAUUCGUGUGUAGCGCGCACACACACACACCAUCGUCGUGGCAACUGUCGUGUGCUCGCCGCGCGCACCAGAGUGUGUGCAAGAUAUAUAAAAAUAUUUCAUUGAAUUUUUACGUGGCAAAAAAGGCGAAACACCGUCGUCGUCGUCGUCCAAGUCUGAAGCAGCGCAGCGCGCGCCUCCAAGCGGCCAUCAACGGAACCUGGUCGCUAGACCAGAACCAGUGCCAGUGUUUGGGCCAACAGGUUCGCCACCGGGCAAGUGUGUGGAUCCAAGUCUCCCCCCCGGGUGAGGUCAAAUCCGAACUCCGGAGUGGGUUGCCUCAAAUCCAGCAGGUGUGCUCCCGAGCCUCAAGAUGGCCGCCCUGUGCGCUGGCAACUAUGGACUGACCCAGCAGCACUCCGGCAGCUCCGGCGCCGGCGACAACAAGGAGCUCAUCUUCGUCAAGCUGACCGACUCGGCCCUGCGGGCCAUUGAGGAGUUUCAGCGGAAUCAGCUCAAACUGGGCGGCUCGCUCAACCCGUCGAUCCAGUUCGUCAACGGGCAGGGCCACCUGUCCUUUCCGUCCCACAACGGCAACAAUGUGCAAAAGUUUAGCUUCUCGCUCGCGGACAUCGAGGGCGGCGGCACGCUCGAGUGCGUCCAGCAGACGACCGGCCAGCCGCUGCAGAACAUCGGCCACAUCCAGCACAAGAUGCGGAUACACGCGAACGACGACGUGUACGAGACGACGCGGCACCGGAUGGCCGCGGCCGAGGAGACCAAAAAGGACAAAUGUACAAGAGAAAUCAAGCCCAAUCAAACCGACAUAGGACGUAAAGUGAAAUUAAAAAAUCCAACCACUCGUAUCAGCAACAUUCCUCCUAGUAGUAAUUCAGUUUUAAGCAAACGUGAUUCUAGCAACAACACUUACAAUAACCAUAGUAGCAGCACCACCAACAACAACCACAUCAGCAACAACAACAGUAGUAGUGGUGCCGGUGUCAUCAACAACAAUAGUAAUAGUAGUCUCUCAGUCGCCUCCGCCAACAACAACCACAACAGCAGCAGCAACAACAACAACAACCACAACAGCAACCAUCUGCUGAGCAACGGCAACAGCCACAGCAACCACGUCGCCAACAACGUCAUCAACCACAACAACAACAACAACAACAACAGCAGUAGCUACAACAACCUCUCGACAUCACCAAAACUAGCGGCGGCGGCGAAAAGCAAUGGCCUGCAGCAGCAGCACAACAACCACCUCCACCACAACAACAACAACAACCACAGCGUCAACAACCAGUCCUCCGGGGUGACGUUGCAGCAGCAGCAUAAACCGGGCUACCAGCCAACGGUGCACGACCCUCCCUACCAGCAGUCCCAGCAAAAGUCUGAAAAUGGCACGGCGAGGGGCACCAACGGCCGGACGCAGCACGGCAAGCCGGAGAUUAUGAAGCGGAAUAUUCGUGAGAGGUUAAUCCACUUACUAGCACUAAGGCCAUACAAGAAACCAGAACUGUACGCCAAGUUAGCGCAAGACGGUAUCCGCGGCCAGGAGAAGAAUUGCAUAGCGCAGGCCCUCAAAGCGAUCGCGAGCAUGCGGGAUAACGUGUACUACCUGCACCGGCACAUGUGGAACGAUGUGCAGGAGGACUGGCCCUUCUACUCCGAGCAGGACCGGCAGACGCUCAAAAGGAGAAAGCCCCAAAACCUAACCCCUCCGCUCAGCUCGGACGGCGGCUCGUCGACGUCGGGCCAGAGUCCGUCCAGUGCGCACAACGGCAGCAGUCCCCCGUCCGGCAGCAAGCGACCGUCGAUAGCGGGCGACGAGGGCGGGGCCGCCGGUGCGAUGCCCACGGCCAAGAAGCCGCGGAUAAGUCACUACAAGAAGGACAUCCUUCCGGACAUUAACCGGCGAGGUGUGACCGAUUCCAGGGACACUAGCAAUAUGAACCCACGCUCGAGGCCGCACGACAGUAACCGUUCGUCGAAUUACUACCACCACCAUGGAUCCAACGUAACCCCGAACGCGCAGGAAUCGGAAGACAGCGGCGUCAGCCUGAGCUACUCGCUCGUGCCGAACGACGUGGCCAAGCGGAUACAGCACUCGGCCGGGGACGUGAUGGUGGCGGACACGCUGGUGAUCUCCGACCGGGACAACUACGACGACCAGAUCAGCGCGUACCGGGAGGAAACGAAGAAGGUGAAGAGCCUGAAGGAUGACUUUAGUGAUCAAUUUACUAGGAUAACCACGGUGGAACAACGGCGUAAAUACAAGACUGAAUUUGACAACGAUUUUCAAGAGUACCGGCGGCUGCACGAGAUCGUCGAGCGGGUGUCGCGGAAGUUUGCUCAGCUGGAGGAGGACCUGCAGCACCAGCGGAAUAACGAGAGGCGGUACAAGGAAAUUCAACGGCAAAUAAUUAAGGAGUACGACGAGAGUAUAAAGGACAACCGGUUUCAGGAAACGAAGCAAAGGUUCAACUAUCUGCACAGCAAACUAUCUCACAUCAAGCAUCUCGUGCACGACUACGACGUCGCCAUCACGAACGGCCUGUGUCGACCGCAGGAGAAUUACUGACGAUUAUUGAAGCCUGUAAAACAGCACCACCCGUCGCAAUUCGUAUGUUGAUGACAUUAAACCCCCUAGCCGAAAGUUAACUGAAGCAGCAAAAAGCACCGUUAAUAGCAUCGUUUACGCCACCACCACCACCACACCGUCGUCGUCGUCGUCGCUCGUCCAGAAUGUCGACCAAUCUCGUAGGAGUGUGUGCGCGCGCACACACACAGGUGUUGUACUAGAAUGCACACAGUGCGCGUUCACCAACCCGUGCAAGCCGGAGCAGCAGCAGCAACAUGCAAUCCUUUGUUACCUUUUUUUAUUUAAACAAAACAAAAAAAAAACACAAAAAUGAAGCAAAAAAGCAACAUUGUUUAGUCGUUAGGAAGUCCACAGACGGAGAGAGAGAGAAGCCAAGAAGAAGCAACAAUCCCGCGGUCCAAAGUGUUUGGAGCAGCUUUGGGCGUGAUGCCCAAGCGCGGGGAGCGGGGACACUGCAAAUCCCGCACAGCAUCAGUGUCCCUCCCCUCCCCGAUCAGCCAGCCCAGCAAAAGAAGGAAAGAAAGACUUGUCAGUCGUAGUCAUCACACACACACACGGUUGUCGGUCGUCGUCGUCGUACUCGCGUUUUCUCGCCAACAAUUGAACCAAUUGUACACACACUUAGCAAUGAGACACACCCACACACACUUGGAAGCAGGCGCCGGAGUGUCCGGCGGGAACCGGAUCCGUACCCGCGAACCGGGAACCGGUGCGCUCUCUUGGGAAAGGGAAUUGUGUGUCGAGAAAACAAAUGAAAAAGAAAACUCAAUUUGGUUGCAGCAGAAGAAGAGGACAGCAAAUCCUAAACACUCACCAGCCACACACAAACGUGCGUGUUUUGGAGAAAAAGAGAGAAAACAAAUAGACACACACACACAGCAGAGAGAGUGAGAGACAUUAUCAAAUGAAUUGAUUUCUAAGGAUUUUUCUUUAAACUAAUUUUAGGAGUUUAUGAAACUUAACUAGUUAAUUGAAUGUGUUAGAAGCAGAAGCAGCAGCAGCAGGAAAGAGAGAGGGAAAGAAACACAAAGCAAGUGAAGCAGCAAGAAAGAGAAAGAGAGAUACAGGAGAAAGCUCGAAAUCGCCACGAAAAAAUGACGUUACUUCUAUUAGAAUUUUUGAAUUAAUUUUUCUUAGUUUUCUCGUUUUUAAUUUCUCGUUUUGUUUCUUCUGAAAGUUCGAAAAAUUGGAAUUCGAGAAGAACCAACACACCAACACCAGCCGAAAAUUCGCGACACGGAUAUAACACACACACAAAGACAUACUUCUACAGUGGGAGAAUUCGCGGUGGGCGCUGAUCCGUUCCCGAACUGAGCAAAAACCACAAACCAAUACAACAAAAAAGAAACUAGAAUUUCGUUUUUGGGGACAAUGAAACGACGUGUCAGGAGGAGAACGAGGAGGGGGACAAAGGAAAUUAUGGGUAUUUAAUUAAUUUAUUAGUUUGUUAAUUUAGACAAUUUUGAAAACAAAAGGAAAGAAAAUGAGUGCGAGCUAGAGGCAAAGUCAGCCAACCCUCUCCACUCUCCAGGCAAUCUCCGCGGUCCACGCGCUAUUGAAUGUCGCCGAGGGAGCGCGCGCGCUUCGUCAAAAAACGGAAGGUUGAAGAAACUGAACCUACACACCUAGUGCCACAGAAUUAGCGAAAAAAUGUUAUUAAAAAGAAACUCAAUUAUUGAAUUGUUACGAGAGCGUCGAAGGCGCGUAGCGCCUAUCGGUGGCGUCGCAACGUUCAACAGGAAUCGCGGGGAAGCGCAAGUCAAUCGGUUGAAGCAAAAAUGAGAGAAUGUUAUUCAAUUUCGGUUUUAUUACUUGUUUAGUAGGUUCAUUUUGAUUGUGUUUGAGAGAGAGGAAUAAAAACUGUUAAAUUGAGUUAAAGCACGUCCUCCGUGGAAGGGCAUGAUUCUUGCCGUCCCCUGCCAAAAACAAAAAGCAAGAACGUGUGUAAACAGUGAAUGAAAUUGACCAGGAAUCUGUUUUGUUUUGUUUAAUUAUUACACAGCAAUUUACGUUUGAACUGUUUUUUUUUAAAUUUCCGUACUAGUGGGUUUAUGAAUUUAGAACGAAAAAGAAAAGAAACGUAUGGUUUGGUUUUUAUUUGAUUUUAUCUUUCUCGCACUUUGUUCCCUUUUGUUAGUUUUCGUUGAGUUUUGUUCUUAUUUUUGGUGCGAAAAAACGAGCGGAACAAACACAAAAAGGCCAAGCAACGUAGUACUAGAAUGAACUCCAUCGGUUAGAGAAAAAGAGAAGCAAAAAAACAGUGACCUUCUUUUGUCGAAUUAAGUAGCGUAAUUCUAACUAGCAUAAGCCAGCAUUUCAAAACCAAUAAUCCAAUAGUAGUAGAAUAAACACACAAAAAAACAAAACACACCAACCAAAUAGAAAGCAAACAACAACAACAACACAAGGAAAUUGCAAACAGCAAAGAUACCAACGAUUAUUUACUCUUUGUUUUUUGUGUGCAAACGUCAAAUGAAUUGUUUUAAGGGGUUUUUAGAUUGUCGAGAAAAGAAAAAUGCAAGGAAGUGAAACAACGCAAAAAGAGAACGAAGCAUAGCAAAAAAACGAAUUGUUUGGAAUUUAGCGCGGUCCCGAGAAUGUUACUUUUAGUUUUAAAACCAAUUGAGCGUGUUGAUUUGAGCGAGACAGCGAAUUGAGCAUGCGUUUUGAAUAUUAUGUUUGAAGGGGAGCUAGCAAAGCAACGAGAGGACAAUACACAGUUGAAAAAACAAAAACACAUAGUUUUGGGUUCCGUACCGAGUACACACAGACUCACACUUACGUCCAAAAAUAAAAGCGGAAGGAAAUUGCCCUUUUCCUUCCGGGUUUGCGCCGCGAGAAUCAGUUGAAUUGAUUGCCAACACUUUUCAAUUCCAUCCAUCAGUUUUAUAUAGGUAGAGAGAUCUUACGAGAGGAAGGGCAUUGUUGAAUGCUUCAGAAGCAGUCAACGCGAUAAUUUCGUCCCACAUUGGAUUAGUAGUUGAUUUCACACAAACGCAUUUGCACCGCACCCCGAAAAAUUGUCGUAGACAAACAGAUUAAAAUCAUGUAUCAAACUUCCCUGCUUUGAAAAAUUAAACAGAAGCAAAUAAAAAAGAUAGACGUCGUUCAACAAUCAACAAACCCAUCGAUGCACGAUUAUUUCAUUGGUGAUAAUGUUAUCGGCAAUAAUUCAUGGUAAUCCAUUCGAAAAACUUAUUUCAAACGAAUUAUUUUUUGACAAAUUUGUCUCAGGUGAAAAAAACAUUUUUCGAGUAAUAUUUUUACAAAUAUUAAAAAAAAAGUUUUUGUCAAAAUUUGAGCAUUUUAAACUAAAACCAUCAAACUGCCUGACAAUGUUGGGAUCGUUUGACACUCAUUUGCAAGUUAUAAACAUUUGAGUAGGGAGCGUUCUUUUAUUACGUAACGCAAAAAAACGGAUUUUCAGACCCCUUUCCCUCAUAAAAAAAUUUCCAUACAAAUUCUAAAAAUGGUGUAUGGAGCGUAACACGGCCUCCGACCUCCUCACCCCAACCGAUUUACGUAAUAAAAGAAAGCUCCCGUAUUUUCAACAACAAAAAACCGUAUUUCGUGAAAAUUAAAAAUUUUAAAAUUGGGCACAGAAUUAAAAGCACGAAUGUUCUAAAAUCCAUUCUAUUUUGCUCUUUUUUUGAAACCCAUUUCACAAUUUAUGAAUAUUUGCAUAUAUUUAAAAGACAACGUAUUUUGUCAAAUUUUAGUUUUCUUAAAGAGAUUAACGAUGUUAAAAUAUUACCAAAUUUGACUUCGUUUGACUUUUAUUAACAAAUCAAGAAAAUUUGAGAAACCUAUUAGUUAUGGGAUUCUCUAUGCGUCUUAAAACCUUUUCAAAUUAACUCUACAUUUUUACUUCAUUUGAACGCUCACAUUGAAAAAUAUAUGAUUUUUUUUAAAUAGUAUUAAAAAACCUAUUUUGCGAAAGAUAUUUUAAUAUUUUUUUAAUUUAUAUGAAAAUUUCAGGUAUAUUUUUUUAAAACGGUAUUUUGUGAAAAUUUAAUGCUCAAAUCUGUUUUUUUUUUGUAAAUGGCCCAAUCAACAAACUUGAUUAAAAAUUUGAGUGUUUUGUUUUUUUGUUAAAUAUUUUUUGAAACAAUAAAAAAAUAGUUUUUUUUCUAAAAAAUACAAAUUUUGUGAAAUAUUUUAUAUUUUUGAGUACUUUUGAUUUUUUUGUUUUUUUUUAAUUAUUGUGAAAAUAAUUAAAUAUUUUGUUUAACGGUGUUUUUUAUUGAAAUUUUAAGUAGAGGUAUUAUUUGAGUGUAAAAAAAGUGGAUAUUUAAGUGGUUGCACUUGGUUUAAUAAAACAUGAAUGUUUUAAAAAUCGAUUCAAAUUUCGGAAUAUUAAAAAAAACGUGUGUUGGUUCUUUCCUGAUGGAAAUUAGAGUAUUUUGACUUUUUGACAUCUAUUUCCACCAGUUUAGAAAAAAUGCAAAAGCAAGCAACAGCUUUGGUUAACUUUAAAAAAACUUGUUUUAUUGUAAAAAUCUGAAAACCGCAGGUUUCAAAAUUUUACCACUUUAUUAAAAAUUAUGAAAAUUGUGUGUUUAGAAAAAUAUCAAAUUUGGUACAAAGGCUUUUUCCCAAAAAAAAACUGGGCUUGAAGUUGAAAGCUAUGGCUUUGGCUAUGGUUUUUUUUUAGUUUUUUUUUUCAAUUUAAAAAGUAACAACACUUGUAAAUUUUUGAAUAUUUUGCACAAAAAAAAUUAUAAAUGUUGCAGCAAUAUAAUCCGAAUUUGGCAUCAUUUGACACCCAUACUGCAAAUUUUAAGAAAAAAUAAAUACACUAUACAUCUUGAAAAUAUUAGUAUUUUGAACAAAACAUAAAAAAUGUAUACAACCAUUAAAAUUGUGAGUAUGUGACAUCCAUACAAAAAAUUAUAAAAUUUGAGUAACUUUUUUAAAUUUUUUAAACACACUUCAAUUUUAUUUUACCGAACUCGAUAGUUAAAAAAUCGGUAAAGUCAUCUGUCAAAAUAAACAAAAUUGUACCAAAUUUCGGUUAUACGAUGAACAAUAAUGAAUAAAAAAUAAAUUUUCAAAACAACCUAUGAGUCAUAGGUUUCUUAUGUAGAUAGGACAUUUUGAAAAUUUAAUCUAGAAAUGAAGUGUGUACACACUUAGAUUUUUUUACCGAAUUCGGUAAAUUUUACCGAUUUUUCGACUGCUGAACAGUUCAAUAAACUGAAAAUUUCCGAAUUUGGUAAAAAAUUAAGUUCAUUAUUGUUCAUCGUACAACUGAAAUUCGGUAAAAUUUUGUUCAUUUUGACAGAUGGUUCACCAAUCCAAACUUUACCGAUUUUUCAACUGUUGAAUUCGGUAAAAAAAAUCUAAGUGUGUAAUAUCUAAUAAAGGCACUGAAAUUGACUUUGUUUCGCCCACAUUUUGGAAGUGCAAAAAAAUAGUUUUUUUUUUCAAUAUUUUGAGUAGUUUUACUAUUUAAACAACUACAUUAUUUAGAAAAUAAUUCAGGAGUGUUUGUGUUUCAUGCCUGAGAGAAUUUUCUCAAAUUUAAUUAAUUCGUUUCAAACAUGUUUUAAAAGGAUUAUCGUGUAAUAUUGCCGUGACGUUAGGGUAGAUGCAAACCGUUGAUCGAUGACGAUAAUAUAUCGUUAUAAACGGCGAUAAUGUUAUCGAUUAUCAACGUUGAUACACAGACACCUUUAAGCAACAGCAAACAUCAAACAAAGUUAAUUGUAGUAAGUAAUAAUGCAACUCCAAUCACAACACACCAUUAAAAAAACUCCAACCGUAAAAGUCGAGAUCGGCGAAAGCACCAGCAAAACAAAAGCAAACUACAUCAACAAACUUGUACUACUAGGAAGCCAAUUUAGCCAUCCAAAUUGUAGGUAUUGUGUCCCUCUUCCCCCCUUUAACAACAAAGUGUAAUCGUAUACAAGCAAAACACACCAUUUUAACAAGCGGCUGCAAUCUAGUACUUCCCUUGUGAUGAAUACUUGAAUUGAGGUACUAGAUCACAACCGUCACAAAAGCUAAUUUAAAAACAAAACACAGUAGCAAACCGUCGAGCGACUAAACCUUCCAAACAAAACAAAAAAUACUAGUUCUUUUGUAUAAAUCAGCAAUUGAGUCCAUCGAAACGAGAGUUGAAAAAAAAAACUUUAUUUUGUUUAUUAAACGAGUGUACGCGGCACCUUUAGCGCCAAAUUCCCAACCAUAAAAAAAGUGUCCUCCAAAUUCGAGUCCAACCACGAGAAAAAAAAAUUAAAUUAAAAACUCUUCAGUCCCGCCACCUUCCAUCCGUUUGAGAACAACAAAUAAAAAAACUUUGCAAAUAGUGCGUUUUCCAAACAAAAAAAAAGCAAGUGCAAACUCCGUUCUACCAAUCAAUGUCGUACUAGAUUUGUGUGUGUGCUUUGAAAGUUCCAAAACCUUGUUGUAGGGUAAGAUGAUCCUCGUCACUUCCUUCCUCGCACUCACACAUCAACGCAACCAUCACACCACUUCCAACAAAACAAAACCUUUCCUGCUGAGUAGUGAGUAGAGCGUUAAACUGUUUUCCAGCCGAAGUAGGAGAGAUUUUUUGUUUUUCAGUUUGCAGUACUAGAUUAUCGAGCGCGUCCAAAAUUGACAAUUUGAAAGAGAGAGAGAAAAAUAAAAACACACGAAACAGAAUCUAAAUUACACGAGAGACUGAUUAGGCGGAUUUUAUUCGGUGGCUCCGCGGAGAGCAAAACAAUAAAGUUGAAACGAUUCCUUUGCCAAAUAAAAAACGAGAAACGCGCGCGCCAUCACCAUCGGUGAGAGUUAGUUAAAAGAAAAGUAAAAGAAACCUUCCCGGAAAGUAAAACUACGUUUUUUCUACGGUUUUAAAAUUUGCACUUUCAUUUACGCACAGACACAAAAUCACAACUAGAGGCCAUCUGUAAAAACUUUAAAAUUGCAUUCUUUGAAGUACUAGAACACGCUUUUGUUUUGACAGCAAACAAACAAACAAAAAAUCAAUGGGAUAUAUCAAAUUAAAGAAGAAGAAAAUCAACUGAACUAUAUCAAACUGACGAUUGUGUAUCAAAGCAAGGCGGUGGAGAAUCAAGUUUAAAGUGAAACAUUUCUAACCUGUAAUCAUAGUUGAAUAAACAAACAAUAUGAGUCAAGCAAAGCAAGCAAACAAAUCAUUAAACUGAACCGUAUAGUAGUGAAAAUGCUAUAAAAAUUGUAUUAGUCAAAAAUAUGUGUCAUUUAACUAGGGAGUUCACUUAAAAACAAAUAAACUAUUAUUAUAAAUAUCAGACAAGUUAAACAAAGAAAAACAAGCAAGCAAGCAGCUUUUGUGCAUUUAAAGGUACCAACUUUUUCCCCUCGUAAAUCAUGCAAAGCAACUUUUAACACAAACACACACACAAGAAUAGUGGGUAAGCAAAACACAAACCUAAAAAAAAAGAAUUUUAAACUAAGACAAACAGAAGGUUACAACAGAAACAAACCAACACUAAACUCCCCACCAAGUGAAAAGCGUUAAAAAAAAAUCUUGAAUGUUUUCCAGAACCAGAACAAUGAAACAUUAAGCUCUAUAUUCUCACUCUUUAAAUUCAUCACACGAAAAAAAAACAAAGAAAACACAACCAACUUAGAACAGAAAAAAAACAACAAUUUUUACCUUUGAAAAAAAAACUUCCCCCGUGUGUAAAACCUGCAAACAAUAACAAAUCAAGCAAACUGUAAAUACUGCUUUUGUGAUCCAAUCGAAACAAACAAACUUGUAGCUUAUUCUAUUACCACAACAAAAAAAGAAAAAAACAAAUAAAAAGAAUCACUCUCGAGCGACACUGCGCUCAAACCAAAGUUAUUUAAAACGUAAAUAAAACAUUCUACUACUGCGCGCAAACAAAAGAAAGGCGCAAAGUUGUGUGAACGAAAAGCGAAACCGUUGGAUAAAACAGAGAUCGCUGUGGACCAGAAAGCACACCUUUGCACUCACACACGAAAGCCAAAUCAGCUGCGUAGUACUAGAGCUCGUAUUCUUGUUUUUGGUUCUAGAAUGAACUAGCUAAUCUGGCAAUACAUCGAUUUGAUACCGGUUAUAAUUGAAGCAAUACUGGUGAUGUUACCGAUUUUUUUUUGUUUUGAGGAAAAAAAGUUGAAGUACUAGAUUUGUUUGGCAAUCUGGUACGAUAAGAUUUUUGGCGAAAUUUUGUUGAUCAAAUUCUUACAAUCUUUGUUAAAAAAAGGGUUUUGACCCAUUUGGUCCCUUAUUUUUUUUUCAAAUCAAAUUUUCAAAUUUUCUUCCAUGAUCUAUGUAGUACAAAAAAACAUUAUUUUAUUUUGGUUCUAGAUUGUAUUAGCUUAUCAAGCGAUCCAACGAUUAAACACUUGUUAUAAUUUAAGCAAUUUUGGUAAAUCUACAGAAUUUUGCUGUUUUUGAAUAAUUUUGAGUUGAAGUACUAGCUUGCCGCGAUAACCUUUAAAAUAAAACCGUUGGUUAAAAUCUUUGUUUGUUUUUUUAAUUUUUACGAUUGUUAAAAAAACAUUUUUUUAUAUAUUUGCUGCUGAUUAUUUUUAAAUCAGACCUGUGCAGUACUAGAACUAGUUAGAUGGAAUUUCACAAUACUGGUAAUUUUGAUGAUUUUUUUAAAAAUUAUUUGGUGUUGAAAUAAUGUUGGAAAUUUUGGCAGUUUUUGAAUAAUUGUGAAUUGAAGUACUAGCUUGCUUUCACUGCUUUAUACGAUAAAACUAUUGGUUUAAAAUAUUUUAUUGAUUUUCACGAUUUUUGUUAAACAAACUUUUUUCCAUAUUUUUGUCGCCGAUUUUUUGUAAAUUUGAUUAUAAAGCAAAUCAAACCUGUGCAGUACUAGAACCAGUCUUCUUGUUUAAGAUCUAGAUUUACAAGCUUAUUUGAAACUAAAUUGACAAGGUACUAGUUCUGAUUAAAGCAAUAUUGGUAAUUUUGAUGAUUUUUAAAAGUUUGUUGGUGUUGAAGUACUAGUUUUGGUUGACAAUCUAGUACAAGAAAUCUAAUAGAAAUAUAGAAAUAUUAUUUAUUGGAUUUGGUUCCUGUUUCAAAACAGGUUUUUUAAUCGUCUUCUUCGGACCGAAAACAAAUCUUGUACUUCAUUUUUUUUUGUUUGCUUUAAAAUAAUCCAUUAGUCUCUGCACUAGAACAUGUUUUAUGAAUAAGUUGUUGUUUCGGUGCUAGAUUGUGCGUCCAUCUUAUUCUGCACUUUUUAAAUCUAGUACUACACUUUUGUAUUCAGUUUUUCUUAGUCAUAUUAUGAUUCUCUUAGAAACUAAACUAAUUUGCUGAACCUUGCCACAAUCACUUUCUACCAAUUAAUUAAAAUUUCAAAUCGAAGCUUUUUCAGCCCACAUUUCUUUGAAGUAGCCUUGAAACAACUCAAUCCUUUGAUUUGUGCCUUAUGAAAAAAGAAAGUUGCAAAAUAAAUUAAACCCUUUUCGUCUCAAACUUGGUUUCCUUUCUAAAAGCCAAAACUAAAUAACUACACCGAUGAAAUUACAAACCACAAAAAAGCAUACACCGAAACUAAAUAUUUCAAAAAACGAUUGCGCAAAUUCAUAAGUGUGUCAUGCAUAGCAGAACAAAGAAAACAAAUAAAAAAAACACGAAAAGAUUAGCUGAAGAAUAAAAGAUGUAAACAGAAACAAAUGAUUGCCUUGUGAAAGAAAUAACUUGAAAAAAUGACAAAAAAUGACUAAAUGAAAACAAACAAACUAAAAUUAUGCGUACAGAAAACAAAACAAAAAACAUAUAUAUAUUUAAUAAAUACAAAUGUGAAUGAAAGCAAAAACAGACGAAUCAUUGUGUGCAGGGGGUAAUCAAAAGUUAGAGCCACACUCACAAAGAAGAAGAAGAAAAAAACCGACACAAUUGUAAAUAGUGUUCGAACCAGCAGCAGAAUUCCGGAGGCCAAUUUGUCGAUCCAAGUGGGCGGAGGAGCCCCGAGCCCAAACAAUAUUUCGAAUCGAGCAAUAACAGAUUCCACCUCCUUUCAUCAGUUUGACGAGAAACGAAAAUUGCGUGAAAAUUCAACUCGGGGUGGAAUCAGGGACCAACACAAUUGGCGAAACGAUAUCAGCAAUGGAAAAAAUUAGUUAGUUUGAUUUGGAGCAGGCUCUCCACGAAAUACGUGCUCAAUUUUUUUAUUUGUUUUUGGUCACGUCAUGCAUUAAAAAUGUUAGAUGUGAAAGGAGUAAAUUUACCUCUGUUUUAUGUAAUAUUACCUAGAUUGAUGUGUAAAGUUGCAUAACUGUUUCUUAAACAGGAUUUGAUGUAAAUUACAUGUUUAUUUAGACGCAAUGUCAGAAAAAUAUGUGUAGCUUUACCUUAAAUAAUAUGCAAAUUUAAAAAGAAAAACAUAUUUUUCCUUUACAUGGAACUGUCAAAUAAAAUGAAAUGUGAUUUAUUUUCUGUGAAUCAGUCAUUUAAAAGUUUAUAUAAUUUUAUGUGUUGUUCAUCUUUUAACAUACAAAUUCAUGUAAAAUUACAUCAAAAAGAGGUAAAUUUACACCUUCCAUGUUUACAUAGUUUUAACUGCGAUACUAGAUGAUGGUGGCGUUUUAGUUGUUGUUGUUUGUUACUUUAGUGAAUCGAGGCUCGCCUGCUUGGAUCGAUUGAUUUUAGCAAAACGUCUCCGACAAAAAAAAGUGAAACAAAGUUGAACAAACAAAGUGUACUUGUUGUGGCCAGAAAAAGAGAAGUAAAACAAAACUAACAACACGCAAAUGUAAAGACGCAGUCAAGAAAGAGAGUAAUAAAACUAGAAUGUGGUAAUAAACAAAAAACACGCUAAAGCGAGUAGUAAUAAAUUUAGGGUAAUCUCUUGCAACAGCAAAAUGGAAAAAAGGAAAUCAACAUAGACAUAUAUAUAUUUUGGCAACGGGAGAUAAAUUUUACGAGCAGGAGAGCAAGUUUUAGAAAACAGAAAAAUACGAAAACUGAAACAUUUAAAAUAAACUAACAUAAUGGUUGUGUUAAUUUCAAAAAGGAGUCAAAAAACAAAACCAAUUUGAAGUAAUCGCUUUUUAGAAAAGUAUUGUCCCUUGAUUUACGAAAGCAGUUUUCUCACGACGAACACUUUUGGUGCGAAAACCAGAGUUACUAGAGCAGCAAAAACAAAACAGAGAGAGAGAGAGAGAAAACCAAAAUCAACAAACGGGAGUGAGAUUUUAGCGUUUAUUUUCCGCAAAAUGUCAUCGGUUCAGUCAACGUUACGUUUCAAAACAGCGAAUAGAACAAAAGCAGCGCAACAUUUAACGAGAGAGAGAAAAAAUCAAAUAAAAACCAUUAAAGAAAAAAACCCAAACUCAAAACCAUCGCGAAAGGCACUCACCAAUACACACACAACACUCUGAUCUGUAAUGGAAGAGUGGGUUAGAACUCAAACACUCAAACUCACACAAACACAAAACAAAAGUUGAAGUGUGUUGUGACGAAACUAAAAAUACACACACACACGCACCUUCGUGGAAAUAAUGAGAAAAUCAAGAGAAAACGAGAAAUCACAUCUAUUUAUAAAUAUUUGUUUGUUAAGAUUUUUUUCACACUGUAAAUAUGUUUAUAUGAAUUGAUUACGAAGUAAUGAUUAAUUACGUCAAGGAAAUAUCACUACACUGAGCAAACAAACUGAAAAGGUUUAUUUAAAAAAAAAACAAAAAAAUCAAAUAAGUUGAAAGUGACAAACUGAGAAAGAGAAAGCGGAGCUAAACCGCACGGAAAAGAAAAAAAGAAAACAAAAAAAACCCAAACGACAACACUAAUGAUGACGACUCUAUGCAAUGAAUUAUCAAAACUGAAUCGCGAUAGCAACAAAGCAAAACAAACACUAAAGUGCGCUCGGCUGUGGAGCGUCACAGUAGGCGGUGCGCGGCGCGCACAAUGAGGGCGUGGCGUGACAAGGUGGGUGUGGGCGGAGCCAGAGAUCCCACUCUUAUUUUUGCAGCAUUUACUCUUGCGUACUGAGUAGAGAGAAGAGAAAGCGAGACAGAGACGGAAAAGUGCUUUUGACGAUUGUUCCUAUCGAAGAUCUGCGGUUUUCGGGGUUUUUCCCCCACGGUGAUCAUGCCCUUUGCAGCCCCGCCCCGAUUCCCUUCCUAAUGAAAGCAAGCAAACCGGUGCAAUAUCAUGAUGAGCUUUUGAGAUUGCAAUAUGACGACGCGGUGGGAGGAGCUUCCGCGAAACAAAACUAAGUGUGCCAAUGGAAGAACGAAUUCCAAGCUGGAGAAGCAAAGCAAGCUCGCCUUCUUUGAUGUUUUUUUGUUGUUUAACCUAAAAAUCAUUAUUGUUUUUUGUUCUUUUUUUAAUUUCCUCAAUGUUUCCGUUCCUAGUGGAACUAAAUUGUUCCAAAAUUUAAGCUUCCCAAUUGGCGAUUGUUGAAUUUGUUCGUUUCGUGUAGAUAGCAUAAGAGAAAAAAAAAAUAUCCAAAGGAGGGAUCGGGCCGUAAUGAUGUAAAUAUCUUGUUUAAACGAAAAUCUGUGCGGGGUGGGGCCACUGAUCAACCAAUGGAGCCGAAACUCGACCCAGAAAUCCGCUAAAAUUCGCGUAAAGUGUGUUUAUGUACUUAGCCCGACGGGCGCCCAAUUGAAAUCGAAAAACACACACAAAAAAUACUUUGAAUCAGAGCAGCACUCUAGUUCUUUUUAUGUCCAAAUCAUCUAUUUUGCAGUUUUUAAUCCCUUCAAGCUGGAAAAAAACAUUCGAAACUCCUGUAUCAAGAGAAAAGAUCCAUUAACAAUUUAACGGUCAAUUUGAAUAAACAGAAACUCAUAACGGCAUCACAUGCGUUUGACAGUUGCCUGAAAUCGUAAUCACACACACUACCAUACAUUUAGUGUGGUGUGCGUCUUCACAACUAGAUGGCUCUAGUGAUGGAUUUGUGAAAAUUUAACCAAUCUCAAACAUUUUUGAUUGAAAAUUUUAUUCAAUACAAAAACGUAAUUUUAAAAAACUUAAGAUUUCACGAAUGGUUAAAUAAUUUGAAACUGUGAGUAUCAGUUUCAAAAUACCGAAAAUAUUUUUUUGAAGAUGUGAAAAUUUACAUAAAAUUGAAAAUCAGCCAAUUGAAGAGCCACUUUUUAAUCUUAUUCGUUACUUUGAAAUUGUGAGACGUAUGUUUUAACUCAAAUUUAAGAAAAAUUUCUAAAGUAAUUUCAAAAUCGUUCAAAUUCAAGGACUAUUUUUAAAUGUCAGUGUUGAUCAUGAUAUUCUGAAAAUAUUUUUUUAUGCUGAAGAGUUGAUAAAUUUUCAUUUCAGCAUAAAAUCUGUAAUUUUUGUUUUUUUUUUUAAUUUUUUUUUAAUUUUCUUGCAGCGUUAUCUAAAAAUUCUGUAAAUUCUUUUUUUUCCAAAAUUAUGCCAAAAUUUCUCAAAAUCUGAUUUAUUUUUUUAAUUCUAGAUUAUUUUAAAGGCUUAAAGGAUUUACUAUGUUUAUAUCACCUUUUAAAAUUUCAGUCUAGAAGUGUAAAAAUUGUUUUAAAAGAAGAAACAAUUAUUUCAUUUUUUAUAAUAUUCGAAUAAAAAAUCGCUCAAACUAUACAAUUUCAGCCAUUUUGAAAUAUUAAUCGUAAUUUUGUUAGAAAUAACACAUUUUUUUUGUUCCGGGAUCUUUUUCAAAUUUAAGUCGGACCAACAAUAAUUGACCAAAUCAAAAAUAGAAAUUGGAUUUUUUUAUGUAACUUCGUUUGUUUUUAAAUAGGAAAUAUUUUUUCAGAAAAAAAAAACUUGAAAAUCAGUAAAUAAAAAAGUGCACCUUUAUGGAUAUUUCAUAUAAAUCACAAAAGUACUUUUGGGGGAAAAAAAAUAAUGUAAAGUUUUCAGGAUUUUUUUUAGAGAUGUUUGUUCUUUCAUUUUCAAAAAUCCAUAUGGUUAAAAAAAUAUAAGCAAAAACACAUAAUUAAAAAAACGAUUUCGAUUAAAUGAUAUUUUUAGAGUUUUCCAAUUUUCUGUAUAGUACUGAUCAUUGUUUACAACUUUAACGAAGACACUAAUUCGAUCAGAAAAUCUCUUCUCUGGGAUUUAUAAAAUCUGGCCUAAAAUUACAAAAUGAUUCAUUUGGACAGAAGAAAAGCAUAAGCAAAGUGUCAUUCAAAUAAAAAUCGACUUGCAAAAGCCUAGAGGAUUGCUCAGCAGUUAUAUUUACUUAACUUCUGCGUCGCGUUACGAGAUACUUAUCUUGCUCCAGCUUUUUCGACGUCAGAAGAGUUUAACAAAUUUACCGCAAAACAACUGGAAAGAUUUCAAAAUCAUUUUCCCUUUUUUGGCCACACCACCAUUUGCUCUUUUUUCUAGCAAAGCAAAGAGCGAACGAAGCUCUCAAAAUCAAAGAGUGCCGUGACUUGCCCACAGAGAAGCCUUAUUUUAAAUUUAUAAAAAAAAUCGCAAGUGGAAACUUUUGUGCAGCAAACCCCCCAAAAAAUUGGAAGCCUGAACCAAAUCCAACCGAACAGAAAAAAGAGAGAAAAAUUUUAACUAAUAGUCGACUGCUUUUCGUCAGGUUCCUAUCAAUUGAAGCGAAAAAAAAACCACGUGUAAAAAGACUGAUAUAAACAAAAAACGUAGAAAUAACUGAAAGAAAGCGUAAACACAAAACACACAAGUCACAAUGACUAAAACUUACUACUAGCGAAGCGAAAAAAAACGAGAAAGAGAGAGAACGAGAGACAGUAACAAAAGAGAGAGAAAACUUGUUGGCAGCGCAAGCCACGCCCCCUCACAAACCUACGAAUCCAACGCCCCCCUUUCUGAAAAUCGGAUCGUUACUUCCUCAUCGUUUUUCUACGAAGAAAAAAAGAACCUCCAAAAAUCGCUCCGCCCCCCGCACUUUAGUACUGCAUUUGACGUCAAGCGAAAAAAAAAAACAACAAUCGAAGCCACGCCCCCUGGCCUGCGCAGCGCCACUACCACGUCAGCCGUGCGCCACGCCCCCCAAUUCUGCCAUUUGCUCGUGCUCGUGUCCCACCCUGAACCCAGGUGAGAGAGACAAUUUUUAAAACCCGGAGGGGUGACCGUGUCCCAGUCACGCCCAAACAGAAAAAAAACCCACACACAGAACUAACAUCAAAGUGCUUCUCUUUCAAGAAUUACCAAUUUUAUGAAGCGUACGAAAGAGAUAGCAAGCGACUCAAAAUAAGACACGCAGAAAAAAAGAGGAGAAAAAAUGCGCAUUUUCUUCGCGGUAACCCUCUGGGAACCUUCCCGAACAAGCCCCCCCUUAAGAAAUGUGUUUGGAAAGGAAAUGAAACUAGACAUGAUGGGGGAGAGGGCACGAGUAAAUGUUUGGAUAUUUAAUGAAAUACUUUAAUUUAGUAUAAAGUAAUCGCAAGAAAUGAGCAUAAUUUAACGAAGAAAAAUAAAUAAAAAAAAAACACUAAGAAAUAAACCCUACAUAUUAUGAGACAGAGAAAGAAUGAAGA